Molecule: ribosomal RNA, 232 nt
Filed under: uncultured bacterium
Lineage: Bacteria
Description: partial 16S ribosomal RNA
Rfam family: Bacterial small subunit ribosomal RNA
Source: RNAcentral
GAUGAACGCUAGCGGGAGGCUUAAUACAUGCAAGUCGAGCGGUAACUAAUUAAUAGCAAUAUUAGUUGGCUAGAGCGGCGCACGGGUGAGUAACGCGUACAUAACCUACCCUAUACUGGGGGAGUAGCCUUGGGAAACUGAGAUUAAUACCCCAUGGUAUUGUUUGGCCGACCUGGUUGAAAUAAUUAAAGUUGCGGCGGUAUAGGAUGGGUGUGCGUCUGAUUAGCUAGUU